Molecule: ribosomal RNA, 494 nt
Filed under: uncultured bacterium
Lineage: Bacteria
Description: bacterial SSU rRNA
Rfam family: Bacterial small subunit ribosomal RNA
Source: RNAcentral
AUUGAACGCUGGCGGAAUGCUUUACACAUGCAAGUCGAACGGCAGCAUAGGUGCUUGCACCUGAUGGCGAGUGGCGAACGGGUGAGUAAUACAUCGGAACGUGCCCAGUCGUGGGGGAUAACGUAGCGAAAGUUACGCUAAUACCGCAUACGAUCUAAGGAUGAAAGCGGGGGACCGUAAGGCCUCGCGCGAUUGGAGCGGCCGAUGUCAGAUUAGGUAGUUGGUGAGGUAAAGGCUCACCAAGCCGACGAUCUGUAGCUGGUCUGAGAGGACGACCAGCCACACUGGGACUGAGACACGGCCCAGACUCCUACGGGAGGCAGCAGUGGGGAAUUUUGGACAAUGGACGCAAGUCUGAUCCAGCCAUUCCGCGUGCAGGACGAAGGCCUUCGGGUUGUAAACUGCUUUUGUUACGGAACGAAAAGACUCUUACUAAUACUAGGAGUCCAUGACGGUACCGUAAGAAUAAGCACCGGCUAACUACGUGCCAGCAG